GAUGAACGCUGGCGGCGUGCCUAAUACAUGCAAGUCGAGCGAACGGACGAGAAGCUUGCUUCUCUGAUGUUAGCGGCGGACGGGUGAGUAACACGUGGAUAACCUACCUAUAAGACUGGGAUAACUUCGGGAAACCGGCGCUAAUACCGGAUAAUAUUUUGAACCGCAUGGUUCAAAAGUGAAAGACGGUCUUGCUGUCACUUAUAGAUGGAUCCGCGCUGCAUUAGCUAGUUGGUAAGGUAACGGCUUACCAAGGCAACGAUGCAUAGCCGACCUGAGAGGGUGAUCGGCCACACUGGAACUGAGACACGGUCCAGACUCCUACGGGAGGCAGCAGUAGGGAAUCUUCCGCAAUGGGCGAAGGCCUGACGGAGCAACGCCGCGUGAGUGAUGAAGGUCUUCGGAUCGUAAAACUCUGUUAUUAGGGAAGAACAUAUGUGUAAGUAACUGGGCACAUCUUGACGGUACCUAAUCAGAAAGCCACGGCUAACUACGUG
RNAcentral lists this ribosomal RNA (497 nucleotides) under uncultured bacterium. RNAcentral's name for it is "partial 16S ribosomal RNA". It matches the Rfam family "Bacterial small subunit ribosomal RNA", at positions 28 to 507 of the family's 1533-position model. The record is from RNAcentral.